This 66-nucleotide transfer RNA is filed under the name bovine gut metagenome. It matches the Rfam family "tRNA". Rfam says of the family: Transfer RNA (tRNA) molecules are approximately 80 nucleotides in length. The record is from RNAcentral.
GGGCGUAGUUCAAUGGCAGAACACCAGCCUUCCAAGCUGGAUACGUGGGUUCGAUUCCCAUCGCCC